Cajanus cajan (pigeon pea) is the source of this 2004-nucleotide long non-coding RNA. RefSeq lists it as uncharacterized. NCBI's taxonomy places the organism in Eukaryota, Viridiplantae, Streptophyta, Magnoliopsida, Fabales, Fabaceae. The record is from RefSeq and is a predicted model, not a curated record.
AAUUCUCAUUCACCCUCAACCACACCACCAAUAUCCCUUCAAUUCACUCUCUCUCUCUCUCCCUUCAAGAUAGCCGAGACUCGUGGGGGAUACAGAGACUAGUAGUAGUAGUGAGUAGUGAGUAGGAAGCUUUGUCUUUUGAGGGGAAUGUUGUCUGGCUCGAGGACCCUUCUUCAUCUUCAUCAAGAAAUGUUUAGUGUUCUCGGACCAGGCUUCAUUCCCCCCAAUUCCAUGCUUCCAAAUCAAGGUAUUUUCCCACUCUCACCUCGUCUUUCAACAAAUAUUUUCAGCCACACAAAGUGUUGACCACAUAGUAGGUUUGCUUCCUCUCCUCUCCUCCUCUAUGGUUUUCUUUUUAAACUUUUGUUUUUUUCUUAAAUAUGGGUAGAUCUGAAUCGUGGGGUUUGGUUUUUGGAUGUAGUUUGCAGAUUGGUGUAAUGAUGAAGCAUUUUGACCCCGUUUCAAAAGCUUUUCAUCAUUACUUCCUUUUCGUUGCUUUCUUUUUCUCUGAUCAUGUUAUGAUGGUGUUUUUCUUGUCAGGCUCUAACUACCUUUUUCUCUUCUUCAUCAUUAGCCGGAUCCUCUCCCAAUUAUGUUUUCCAGCAUCCGAUCUGUCUGUUUCUGCCAUGUUUUCUCAGAUCUGGCCACCUUUGAGACACUCACUUAUUCAUUCUCCUCGCCCCCCCUUUUUUUUUUCAUCUUAUCUCUCUCUCUCUCUCUUUAGGGUUUUGUGGACUAUGUUCUGUCUCUAAUCUCUAUGUUGUGAUAAGCUGAUCCCUGAGUCUCAGAUGAAGAAGCAAGAGGAUGAAACAAUGAAACCCCUUUUAUUAAUUAUUAGUCAUUUCACCAUUGUCAAACCGUGUGGUCAAAUCGAGGUUUAAUGUGCCAUCUGUUACAGGAAUGAACAUAGUGACAAGAGCCUUGUAGACUCCGCCCUCUCUUUAUUAGAUUCUUCUGCUCCCAGUGGUCAAACUUUUGUUUCUUAAUUGCACUUUAUUAUGCGUUUAAAUUUGUUGCUACAUCUGUAUUUGAUACUAAACUGAUAGAUCCUUGAAUCUGUUGUUCUUAUUGUUGGUAGGUGGUAGCAUUUACCUUCCUUGUAUAGGUCUAGUAAUGUCACACAGAUCUAUACUUUUUCUGUUUGCUUUGUCAUUCUGUUCAUGCCAAAUUGUAAUUAAAAUGGAUAGAUCUGAGCAUUGGUUAUGCAGAAUCCAGAAUGGAAUCAAUUUUGAGAAGUAUGGCUUUAUUUUCUUAUGGGUGUUGCAGAACCGUGUUGUUUUUCAAUGGACGAGUUUAAUUCUUCCCUGGCUUAAUUUAAUAUUUCAUUUGAUAGCUGAAACCCUAAUUUCCUGCACAAUCAAAGAAUCAAUGUACAAGAUGCUUCCUUUUCUACUGAUUAAGUUUCAAUGUUUAUUAAUCAAUUGGUUUAGAAGAAAACAAAAACUCCUUUCAUUAAUUAUAAUAAUUACAGUUCUUCAAGGAUAAAGCAAAUUAAUUUUUUCCUUUAAGGAUCAUGAAUCUUGUUCAUGAGUUUAGGAAACAUUAAAUUCUGCAUUUUAGCCCUUUCUCUCGUGAUAGAAACAGCAAAUAAAUAUCAAUGCCUCGUUAGGAAUCAAAGAUUUAUGCAGGUCAAUGUUUGAGCAACUGAGCAUUGUCCCAACAGGCAUCACUGCAAUGUUACUUUUUUUGAUCAAUAUCACUGCAAUGUUACUGACACAGGGAUUUGGAAGAGACUAGCUACAGCAUCCUAUUAAGUUUGAUUCAGAAUCAGAAUGGUAGACAAAAAGGGUCUGCACAUAGCUAGCGGCAUUGGGGAACACGAAUGACAUAAUCACAGUGCUCAAUGUUCAUGGCUUCAUGCAUACACCACUAUUUUUCUUUAUCACCAUUGUUGUUUACAUAUUCAUACUUGCACGCAAAUGUGUACUUUAUUAUUUUCAACACAACUCAUGUAUCCAAACCCUCUUACUAUAAUAAUAUUUGAAUUUCGUUUUGAUCUCUGAA